GACAGAGGGUGCAAACGUUGUUCGGAAUUACUGGGCGUAAAGCGCGUGUAGGCGGCUCGGAAAGUCGGAUGUGAAAUCCCUCGGCUUAACCAAGGAAGUGCAUCCGAAACUGCAGUGCUUGAGUACUUAAGAGGAUCGCGGAAUUCCCGGUGUAGAGGUGAAAUUCGUAGAUAUCGGGAGGAACACCAGUGGCGAAGGCGGCGAUCUGGGAAGAUACUGACGCUGAGGUGCGAAAGCGUGGGGAGCAAACAGG
Molecule: ribosomal RNA, 253 nt
Filed under: uncultured bacterium
Lineage: Bacteria
Description: partial 16S ribosomal RNA
Rfam family: Bacterial small subunit ribosomal RNA
Source: RNAcentral